Molecule: ribosomal RNA, 253 nt
Filed under: uncultured bacterium
Lineage: Bacteria
Description: partial 16S ribosomal RNA
Rfam family: Bacterial small subunit ribosomal RNA
Source: RNAcentral
UACAGAGGGUGCAAGCGUUACUCGGAAUUACUGGGCGUAAAGCGCGCGUAGGUGGUUUGUUAAGUUGGAUGUGAAAGCCCCGGGCUCAACCUGGGAACUGCAUCCAAAACUGGCAAGCUAGAGUACGGUAGAGGGUGGUGGAAUUUCCUGUGUAGCGGUGAAAUGCGUAGAUAUAGGAAGGAACACCAGUGGCGAAGGCGACCACCUGGACUGAUACUGACACUGAGGUGCGAAAGCGUGGGGAGCAAACAGG